CUCAGCCGUAUGAUGGGAAACUGUCACGUACGGUUCUUAGGGGAGGGGAGAGAGGCGACUCUCGAACCUUACCCGAU
Molecule: non-coding RNA, 77 nt
Filed under: Dactylococcopsis salina PCC 8305
Lineage: Bacteria; Bacillati; Cyanobacteriota; Cyanophyceae; Nodosilineales; Cymatolegaceae
Source: RNAcentral